AAUGUGAAAAAGGAAAAGGCAAGAGACAAACUUCUAAAUGGAUGUCCAUACGUUCACGUGUCCAGCUUGGCAAUGUGCAUCGACGCCUCAUCCAUCCCACCUACAAACAAGACAAGGAACUAAUUUCACGGCGGAAUAUGGACCCGACAUUCACAACUCUGUUUAUUCGACGAAAUAUGGGAAAGCUUCUGUCAUUUUUUAGGUUUAAUUUGUGGAUGUUGAUUCUAUAAAAAAAAUUAUGUAAAAUGAUCCAUAGCAAAGUACUGUAGAAAAAAAUGGUUGGCCAGAUAAUAACUAAAAUAGACAAUAAGUGGUAGAACAAACGAGAUUAUGAGAACAGACUAGGCAUAAGCAUGAUGCUACAAAAAAAAGGUUUAAGCUUUGUGAAGCAACACCUUUCGGGUGGACCCAUGCAAAUUCAAAGCUUACCGAGGCUUAUGUCGAUGUCUAAAAUAAAAAAUGUAUGGGACUAGCUGU
RNAcentral lists this long non-coding RNA (477 nucleotides) under Brachypodium distachyon (stiff brome). Its description in RNAcentral is "long non-coding RNA (BDIS_LNC000574)". Lineage: Eukaryota; Viridiplantae; Streptophyta; Magnoliopsida; Poales; Poaceae. The record is from RNAcentral.